Molecule: ribosomal RNA, 424 nt
Filed under: uncultured Chryseobacterium sp.
Lineage: Bacteria; Pseudomonadati; Bacteroidota; Flavobacteriia; Flavobacteriales; Weeksellaceae
Description: bacterial SSU rRNA
Rfam family: Bacterial small subunit ribosomal RNA
Source: RNAcentral
UGGGGAAUAUUGGACAAUGGGUUAGCGCCUGAUCCAGCCAUCCCGCGUGAAGGACGACUGCCCUAUGGGUUGUAAACUUCUUUUGUACAGGGAUAAACCUACUCUCGUGAGAGUAGCUGAAGGUACUGUACGAAUAAGCACCGGCUAACUCCGUGCCAGCAGCCGCGGUAAUACGGAGGGUGCAAGCGUUAUCCGGAUUUAUUGGGUUUAAAGGGUCCGUAGGCGGAUCUGUAAGUCAGUGGUGAAAUCUCAUAGCUUAACUAUGAAACUGCCAUUGAUACUGCAGGUCUUGAGUAAAGUAGAAGUGGCUGGAAUAAGUAGUGUAGCGGUGAAAUGCAUAGAUAUUACUUAGAACACCAAUUGCGAAGGCAGGUCACUAUGUUUUAACUGACGCUGAUGGACGAAAGCGUGGGGAGCGAACAGG